AGUGAACGCUGGCGGUAGGCCUAACACAUGCAAGUCGAACGGCAGCACAGGAGAGCUUGCUCUCUGGGUGGCGAGUGGCGGACGGGUGAGGAAUACAUCGGAAUCUACUCUGUCGUGGGGGAUAGCGUAGGGAAACGUACGCUAAUACCGCCUACGACCUACGGGUGAAAGCAGGGGACCUUCGGGCCUUGCGCGAUUGAAUGAGCCGAGGUCGGGUUAGCUAGUUGGCGGGGUAAAGGCCAACCAAGGCGACGAUCCGUAGCUGGUCUGAGAGGAUGAUCAGCCACACUGGAACUGAGACACGGCACAGAGUCCUACGGGAGGCAGCAGUGGGGAAUAUUGGACAAUGGGCGCAAGCCUGAUCCAGCCAUACCGCGUGGGUGAAGAAGGCCUUCGGGUUGUAAAGCCCUUUUGUUGGGAAAGAAAUCCAGCUGGCUAAUACCCGGUUGGGAUGACGGUACCCAAAGAAUAAGCACCGGCUAACUUCGUGCCAGCCGCCGCAGUAA
Molecule: ribosomal RNA, 506 nt
Filed under: uncultured bacterium
Lineage: Bacteria
Description: partial 16S ribosomal RNA
Rfam family: Bacterial small subunit ribosomal RNA
Source: RNAcentral